This is a long non-coding RNA of Heterocephalus glaber (naked mole-rat), 964 nucleotides long. The record is from Ensembl. Lineage: Eukaryota; Metazoa; Chordata; Mammalia; Rodentia; Bathyergidae.
GUGUAUUUUUCCCUUUGUGAAUUUUAUUUAGAAAAAAACUUAGCUAAACAAAGACACAACUCCUUGUUUGGCCCACCUUUAUAAAGCUUUAGAAUGUGGACUUGAGCCCACCGAUAAAACAGUGGCCUGAGACACCAUCCAAGUCUAUAUGCAUCUGGGCCAGAGAAGACGGUGUGUAGCCUGACAGGAGCUCUUGACACAGCCUCCACCCAGCGGGUCACGGGGAGCGUAUGCUGUCACCUCUGUGAAGCCAUUACUGCCCACGGCGUGCCAGGCACUUCUGUUCCACACACCAAGCUGAGUGCUCUCUUGAAGUCAGUGCUACUUGCCAACCCACAUCUGCCCAUUGUCCACGCCACUCCAACGAUGUGACUGGAGUUGUAUACAGUGGAACGGCUUCAUAAGGACAAGUCACAAAAAACUGCCAUUGAACAGGUUGUUUGAAGAUCCCCUGAGAUACAGAUGUGAAAUGCUUAAAGCUGCUGCCGGUUAUAAAACAGGAGGCAUCAUGACAGACAGAUGGAGUUCCUGGUGUCACCCAGUAGCACAGCAAGGCUGGCUUACCUUCCUCCAGCCCAUGUUUCCUCACCAGAUUCCCAGAUCAAUGAAGAAACAUGGAGGGAAAAUGUUGGUAUAUGGAGAUCAAAACAUCAGAUUGCUUCUGAUCCAUCUGAUAUGGGCAUUAUCUGCAGCUGCCUGAACAAUGCAGAGAGGAAGACAGAGAGCUAAAGUGUCUAAGAAACAUUCAAGCUACUUCUACAGAAGAAAUGAAACUGCCUCUCCCCUCAAAGUGGCUACUACCUGCUCAAGUGUUCUCAAACCCUUUAAGGGCAUUGGGGAGCAACUCACUCAUGAAUGCAAAUGUAACACUGAGCACAGAGAAGAGAUGCUGAGGGGGUGUGAAGCUUAAAAGGAGUGCUCAGAACGCAAUGAAACCCUUCAGAGAAAGUUUCCUAGAUAUAGC